UGGGGAAUAUUGGACAAUGGGGGCAACCCUGAUCCAGCAAUACCGCGUGAGUGAAGAAGGCCUUCGGGUUGUAAAGCUCUUUUACCGGGGAAGAUAAUGACGGUACCCGGGGAAUAAGCUCCGGCUAACUUCGUGCCAGCAGCCGCGGUAAUACGAAGGGAGCUAGCGUUGUUCGGAAUUACUGGGCGUAAAGGGCGCGUAGGCGGUUUUGUAAGUCAGAUGUGAAAGCCCCGGGCUUAACCUGGGAACUGCAUUUGAGACUGCAAGACUAGAGAUCGAGAGAGGAAAGUGGAAUUACGAGUGUAGAAGUGAAAUUCGUAGAUAUUCGUAGGAACACCCGUGACGAAGGCGACUUUCUGGCUCGACCCUGACGCUAAAGCGCGAAAGCGUGGGGAGCAAACA
Molecule: ribosomal RNA, 402 nt
Filed under: uncultured bacterium
Lineage: Bacteria
Description: bacterial SSU rRNA
Rfam family: Bacterial small subunit ribosomal RNA
Source: RNAcentral